AGAGUUUGAUUAUGGCUCAGAUUGAACGCUGGCGGCAGGCUUAACACAUGCAAGUCGAGCGGAGUGAUGGUGCUUGCACUAUCACUUAGCGGCGGACGGGUGAGUAAUGCUUAGGAAUCUGCCUAUUAGUGGGGGACAACAUUUCGAAAGGAAUGCUAAUACCGCAUACGUCCUACGGGAGAAAGCAGGGGAUCUUCGGACCUUGCGCUAAUAGAUGAGCCUAAGUCGGAUUAGCUAGUUGGUGGGGUAAAGGCCUACCAAGGCGACGAUCUGUAGCGGGUCUGAGAGGAUGAUCCGCCACACUGGGACUGAGACACGGCCCAGACUCCUACGGGAGGCAGCAGUGGGGAAUAUUGGACAAUGGGCGCAAGCCUGAUCCAGCCAUGCCGCGUGUGUGAAGAAGGCCUUAUGGUUGUAAAGCACUUUAAGCGAGGAGGAGGCUACUGAAGUUAAUACCUUCAGAUAGUGGACGUUACUCGCAGAAUAAGCACCGGCUAACUCUGUGCCAGCAGCCGCGGUAAUACAGAGGGUGCAAGCGUUAAUCGGAUUUACUGGGCGUAAAGCGCGCGUAGGCGGCUAAUUAAGUCAAAUGUGAAAUCCCCGAGCUUAACUUGGGAAUUGCAUUCGAUACUGGUUAGCUAGAGUGUGGGAGAGGAUGGUAGAAUUCCAGGUGUAGCGGUGAAAUGCGUAGAGAUCUGGAGGAAUACCGAUGGCGAAGGCAGCCAUCUGGCCUAACACUGACGCUGAGGUGCGAAAGCAUGGGGAGCAAACAGGAUUAGAUACCCUGGUAGUCCAUGCCGUAAACGAUGUCUACUAGCCGUUGGGGCCUUUGAGGCUUUAGUGGCGCAGCUAACGCGAUAAGUAGACCGCCUGGGGAGUACGGUCGCAAGACUAAAACUCAAAUGAAUUGACGGGGGCCCGCACAAGCGGUGGAGCAUGUGGUUUAAUUCGAUGCAACGCGAAGAACCUUACCUGGCCUUGACAUAGUAAGAACUUUCCAGAGAUGGAUUGGUGCCUUCGGGAACUUACAUACAGGUGCUGCAUGGCUGUCGUCAGCUCGUGUCGUGAGAUGUUGGGUUAAGUCCCGCAACGAGCGCAACCCUUUUCCUUAUUUGCCAGCGAGUAAUGUCGGGAACUUUAAGGAUACUGCCAGUGACAAACUGGAGGAAGGCGGGGACGACGUCAAGUCAUCAUGGCCCUUACGGCCAGGGCUACACACGUGCUACAAUGGUCGGUACAAAGGGUUGCUACCUAGCGAUAGGAUGCUAAUCUCAAAAAGCCGAUCGUAGUCCGGAUUGGAGUCUGCAACUCGACUCCAUGAAGUCGGAAUCGCUAGUAAUCGCGGAUCAGAAUGCCGCGGUGAAUACGUUCACGGGCCUUGUACACACCGCCCGUCACACCAUGGGAGUUUGUUGCACCAGAAGUAGGUAGUCUAACCGCAAGGGGGACGCUUACCACGGUGUGGCCGAUGACUGGGGUGAAGUCGUAACAAGGUAACCG
Molecule: ribosomal RNA, 1500 nt
Filed under: unidentified
Description: bacterial SSU rRNA
Rfam family: Bacterial small subunit ribosomal RNA
Source: RNAcentral